AAAUUUAAACUACAUUUAUAGGCAGUUGAAGCAUACCCGUCUUUUUUUUUGCAUUCAUCAAAUGGCACCAAUAUCCAACAGAAGCCAUUACAGCAUCAAUAGCAAUAGGAAACAUACCUAUUUCUGCUAAAACUGCUGUGUUUACUACAGCUGUAUUUACACCCAAAGAUAUUUAGCAAUUGUAUUUGAAAUUUUGAUGGUAUAAAAGACAAAUAUCUUCAUUCAAGACUUGAAUUAUCUUUAACUAACAUAUCAAGUGCCCAUAUUUCACUG
RNAcentral lists this long non-coding RNA (273 nucleotides) under Mytilus galloprovincialis (Mediterranean mussel). The record is from RNAcentral. Lineage: Eukaryota; Metazoa; Mollusca; Bivalvia; Mytilida; Mytilidae.